RNAcentral lists this long non-coding RNA (1201 nucleotides) under Coturnix japonica (Japanese quail). RNAcentral's name for it is "lncRNA (ENSCJPG00005001822.1)". The record is from RNAcentral. Lineage: Eukaryota; Metazoa; Chordata; Aves; Galliformes; Phasianidae.
AGCAGGGCAAUUGUGACUCAAUAAUCACUGUGGUCCUUUUCAACCCAGGACAUUUUAUGAUUCUCUGUAUAAAAUAAGCAUGUUUUAUCAAGCCAUGUUGCCUUUAAAGAGGCUUAGGAUUGGCAUGUGUUUUCCUAAUGUAACCUGGGUGAAAACAGCUAGUUAUCUUUUUAGGUAACUUGUGAGGUGAUGGAGGCAUCUGAGUAUUUUCAUUGGAGCUAUAUGUAACUCACAAUUAUCUGAGAGCUCAUUUUGUGCACUAGGGUAUUGUAAAUCCUAUUAGCUAGACUCUUCAUGUUACAAAAGCUCUACCAGAUUAUUCUGCCCCUUGGGAAAGGCUGUAGUGCAUGGUGAAAGCUGCUAUAGACUGAGUGGCAAUUCUUAUUCUCAAACUGUAGGUAUCUGCUAGUGUCAUGUGAUGUACACAGCAGUCAUCUUGGUGCCAUGACUUCCUCUUAUCAGAACAGUGCAGUUUCAGAAUGCCUUGCUUGGGAUCUCUGAUGUGUAUGCUUGCUCUUCCAGAGUGGGUAGGUUACAAAGAAGCAUCUGGUUAGCCUUGUACCUUUUGUUUACCUGACCUAGAAUGUUGUGAGGGAGCACAUUUCCAUUCUAGUGAUGAAGGUCAGGGUACAAAACGUGCAGUGAUGUUGGUUGGUGUCAUCCAACUUGUUUCAAAGGUAUCAAAGCAAAGCCCCAAAGGAGUAUAAAGACACCACUGUGAAGUUACAGUACUUUUCCGGGGAGAUAUUACAAACAAGAAUGAGGUGAAGGGAAAAAAAAUACUGAAAUAACUGUGAUUCUUACAGGAGAUGGAAAGGACAAGAUUAAACCAUCUCCAGAAAUCCCUUCCAGCCUUAGCCAUUUUCCAGUUCGGAUGUUGAUGGGCAUUUGUGCAAGAACUGUAUGGAUGACUUCUUAAGGAGCUGAAUAGACAUGAAGAGGACUGUCCCAUUUCAGCAGCAGUAAAUGCAUCCUACCCUGAGUCCAGAUGCCACCUGGGAAUGAGAUUCCAGGCUUACCAGAGAAGUAUUUCAUGGUUGUUGGUAGACUUCACUGCUGGGACACUUUGGUUGCUGGAAGGAGUUGGGAUCUGUCUUCAAUAAUGAUUCCUCUCUGAACAUGUGAGCUUUGAGGUACCAGAGAUGGAACUGAGUUGUGCAUGCCUUUGUAUACAGCCCUGUGUUCUUAUGAGUGGCAGUCU